UGGCUCUGCAAAAGGAGAAGCGAGACAACCAAAGGGAUUAAAAUUAACAAGCGAAUUGAAGGCUCUUAAAAACUUUUUCGAUUUUCCGCUGAAAUCUCUGGAUCAGCGCUCGAGAAGUCAUAAAAAAGUUGAAACGAAGGCAAUGGUCAUAAAAAUUAUUAUCCACAAUCCGCAGAAAUGCAAUUUCUUUUGCAGGGAAAGACGGGCAGGCAAGAAAAAUUAAAGACUGGCAAUCAAUUCGGGCGAAUCUGUCAUCGUGGCAGAUAAAUAUUAUCAUUGCAUGGCUCGUGGCUGGACUGCUGGCCAGGCCAAAUAGAUAUAGCCAUCUAUCAGCUGGCAGCUUUGGGGUGCAGAGGUCAUGUGUCUGUGGAUCAAUAUUUAUUGCAAAUUAUGGCUCGGCCACCACACUUUCCGUGUGGCCCACGGGGCGUAUGUGCAACAUUCCGGUUGGCCGCAAGUGCUGUGCAUUAAUUAUGCGAUUCAGAGUGUUUCUGGACUGGAUGGAUGUGUGAUUUGCGGUCGGGCCUGUCGAACUCGAGUCGCUCCAGCUAAUGUAAUUAGGUUUCCUGAUUAAAAUGGCAGCAAAAGCACAAUAACUAAGUGUAAGAAACUGGAAAAACUUCAUAAUGAACUUGCAAACAUGAAAAAUCACAAUUCAAUUUGUCUUCGUGCGAAAAUGCAAAAAUAAUUAAGACAUGCUCCUUACAAAUAAUGAACUUGCUCAACAUUUUUCCUUUUGCUCGAGGAAGACAAGGUGAAAACAGCAUGAAAUUACGAAACGCCGCUCAAAAUGCAAAAAGUUGUUGCCAUUUAAGAAGAAGUUUUGACUUAAGAACUUGUUCCGACGAUGGUGGGGCAAAGUUUUUCAAUAAGCGGUCUUGCCAAAAACAAGCCAAAGUGAGUUCAGUCAAGCAAGUGGAAAAACUACACAAAUGUGGCCAUCUUAGGAGGGGGGAAAUAUAAAAAAAUAAGUACAUAUAGAGCUCCCUCAAGCAAGUAAUCACGAAAAAUGGCUGCCGAGGCUGCCCCACCACCAUACAUUAUAACUUAAGUCAAUAAAAAUAAUUGAAAACCAACAGCAGCGGAACUUGGAGUAAUGAACCCGGCCAAGGCGACGUCCUUUUCCCGAUGGAUGUGAAAGGCAACGCCUCUGCAAAAUCGAAAUAAAAUCGAAGUCACCACAAACAAAAGGUAUGAGCUGGAGUUUAUUGACGGGAUUGACGGCACGCAAUAAAAACCGGGUCGAGGCAUAAAAAAAUCAGCGGAAACGCAAAAGGAAAACCGGAAGUCGUCGGCGGCGGAAACUUGAGGCCUGCGGCUGGGCGAAAGGUUUGAAAUAAAUAAAACAUCCGAUGGCGCUGUCAGCUCUGCGGCUAAGAUAAAAACACAUGGCACUGCAGUCAAGUCAAAGAUAAAGAGAACUCAAAUCAGAUGACAUGGCAGAACACACAGGAUGCGUAAAACAAAUGCGACAGAGCCUGGCUGAAAGAAGCUGGCCAGACCGACUGACAGAAUGACAAAGUGACGAAUUGACGCAAUGACAGCGGCACAGAACAACAAACGUUCUCUGCAUUCCUUCAAGCCAUCUUGACACUGAGAAAUGUGGCAUUGUGGGUGCUCCGAGCUUUUAUUUUUCUCCAGCCCGCGUGACUCGUUGUUCUCCACCCAACAGCAACAUCAUCAUUAUGGCCCAGAAAAAGGCAGCAGCUGUUCCAGGAGCAAGGAUCCUCGGGCCAGGAGCCAGAAGACAGGAGCUCCUUGUGCCAGUGCGAUUGAGCUGAAAUGUGGCAAAUCAGCGCUGCUCCUUGCCACACCUUUAUAAGGUUCUGGGUUCCCUGGUUAAUGAUGAUGAGGACGACAGGUGGGGUGCUGAUGUAAAUGUUUGUCGGGUUGUCACCAUCUAGUUGAAAUUUUCCGAGCUAUCAAAUAUCUGGGGUCGCGAGUCACAAAAGUCGACGAGUCAUUCUUGGUGAGGAAGGAGUUAAAGCACCUAAAAUAUUUAUAGUUAGAAGGAAAUACCUUACUUUCUUUUACACUGAUAUUUAUAUAAAAGCAGGUAUAAAGAAUCCAUUCUGCAAUUGUUUGUUAUUUCGUAAUUGCGUGGCUAAAAUUUGUAAUUAAUUUGUAAAAAACCUUUAAAAUAAAAAUUCUUAUUUAUUUCAAUCAUUCACCCAGUCAGUCGGAAAAAUGUUUAGAUAUAUGGUAUAUGUUAUUUUUCUAGGCAAGUGAAAUUGUUUAACCAGCUGUGAAUACCAAACCAAAAAAUAAAUUAGUUCGUAAUGCUGUCAAAAAUGUACCCUUUUUUAGAGAACAUUUCAGACCUGUGGUUUGCGGAAACAUUUUUUGCUACUUCCAGUUGCAUAAAAUAACGAUACGGUAUUAAGCUGAAAGCAUGCAACUUUAAUUGCAAAUAGAAACCAGAAAAAUCCACCAACUGAAUCCGACAGCUAAAACGUAAAGAAGAGGGAUAUCAAAAUGCAACAAAUGUUCAAAAUGCUGUCAUUCGGUAAACAUUUCAACAAAUUUGCUUUUUAUGACAGCUAAAUGUUAGAGUUAUUAUUUUCAUAAAUAAAUCUACAUUUGGGUGGCCUGCUAAUUUGGUUAAUUCAAUUUAAAAGCUUUGAUAUAAAUAAAAUAUCAUUAUAAUUAAAACAGCUAAUGUUUUUUAUAUUACGAUGUUGAUUACAAUAUUUAUUAAUAAAUUUAAUCAUUAUUCUUCAAUAUUUAAAAAUGUAGAAUGACUUCUUAAAGUUGAAAUAUAAUAAAAAGGUCAUGUUUACUCAAGGGUCACAUCCACAUGUCAAUAAUUCGUAAAAUAACAUUGCAUAUUAUUGGGUGAACUUUCUUGAGAUGUACAGGGUUCUUUAGCUUUUGAAAGCCGCCUUACUACUAAAUGUUUAUAAGGCCUACUGAGUAUAAAGUAGCAGCGACUGAGGCAGCGCUGCCGACUGAAUCAAAUAAGGAGUCUGCGCAGAAUAUAUCACAAAUAAAUAACACUUUUAACCCAGUUAUGGUGUCCUAAUAUUUACCAAGUAAUACUUCGAUAGGAAAAAAAUGUUUUAAAAAUACUUAACUAAUACUUCACUAACUUACUAAAAAGUAAGCUAAAUGCAUAAACUACAAGACUUGUUGUGAAUGGUAUAUUACCCUGUUCAAUAUUUUUUAAAUGAGUUUAUCAUAUGAUCAUCAUAUGGUUUUUAUAUAC
Molecule: long non-coding RNA, 3205 nt
Organism: Drosophila subpulchrella
Lineage: Eukaryota; Metazoa; Arthropoda; Insecta; Diptera; Drosophilidae
Exons: 4
Source: RefSeq, a predicted model, not a curated record